AUAGGGGUAGAGAUCGUUUGUGCCAGCGUAUUUUUUCACUAGGUGCCAGCGCAUUUUAUAGGGGUAGAGAUCGUUUGUGCCAGCGCAUUUUUUCACUAGGUGCCAGCGCAUUUUUUUAGGGGUGGAGAUGCAUUGGCCUAUUACUGUUCAUUGAAGUCUAUUAUUGUUCACUGGAGUGGAUAAAUGAGCUGAGUGCUGGCACAAAGUCCUUAGGAGUGGACUUGCUCUAAAAGUGAUGUUUGGAAGGUUGGAGGUUGGGGGUACAGUUGGAGCAGGGGGAUUGGGGAUUGAAAGAUGUGAGGUUGAAGGGACGGUUAGAAAAGUAAUGGUGGAGAAAGAAGGAGAAAAGAUGAAAGAUAAAGCCUGAAGUUGAUGGAGAAGACAAACCUUAAUUGAAAGAUCAAUGAAACUACUGAGAAACUACACAUAUAUAAUCAUAAGUAGUAAUCGUAAUUGUAAUGAAUGUGGAAAGAGACAUAUAGCAGUCGCUUAGCAUUUGCACUUGAAGAGAAAGAAAACUAAAAAUUAAAAAAAUUGCUGCAAAAUUGCAAAUCAAUUGAUUAAGAGCAUAUGCUCUUGUACUCGAAUUCUUAUGUUCCAUUUCCCCUUAAUCAAAAUUUUGCUUGUAUAAGAAACAAAAAACGUAAUACGCAAACAAACCAAAACUGAUGCAAAG
RNAcentral lists this long non-coding RNA (676 nucleotides) under Malus domestica (apple). Its description in RNAcentral is "long non-coding RNA (MDOM_LNC007064)". Lineage: Eukaryota; Viridiplantae; Streptophyta; Magnoliopsida; Rosales; Rosaceae. The record is from RNAcentral.